This 432-nucleotide ribosomal RNA is filed under the name uncultured crenarchaeote. Its description in RNAcentral is "bacterial SSU rRNA". It matches the Rfam family "Archaeal small subunit ribosomal RNA", at positions 274 to 708 of the family's 1478-position model. The record is from RNAcentral. Lineage: Archaea; Thermoproteati; Thermoproteota.
CCGUGAGAGCGGUAGCCCGGAGAUGGGUACUGAGACAAGGACCCAGGCCCUACGGGGCGCAGCAGUCGCGAAAACUCCGCAAUGCACGAAAGUGUGACGGGGCUACCCCGAGUGCCAUCCGCUGAGGGUGGCUUUUCUUUGGUAUAACUAGCCAGGGGAAUAAGGAGAGGGCAAGACUGGUGUCAGCCGCCGCGGUAAUACCAGCUCCUCGAGUGGUAGGGAUGAUUAUUGGGCUUAAAGCGUCCGUAGCCGGCUUAUCAAGUCUCCUGUUAAACUCAGCGACCUAAUCGUUGAAUCGCGGGAGAUACUACUAGGCUAGGAGGCGGGAGAGGUCGACGGUACUUCUGGGGUAGGGGUGAAAUCCUAUAAUCCCAGGAGGACCACCAGUGGCGAAGGCUGUUGACUAGAACGCGCCCGACGGUGAAGGGCGAA